ACUAACGAAAGCAGAUGUCAAAAUAGAGUUGUUUGUCACGCGAGUGGAAAAAUAUCAAGACCAGCAGACACUCCAGACAGGUUAUAUAAGCCAGACACAGACAACAGAGUUUGAGAUUCCUCGGGUAUGUACUGUAUGUGCAUGCGAGCGUGGCUCCCGGAUCGCGAUCUGUGCAAAGAAUAAAGCGCUGACUUACAACCACCCUUCGCCUCACAUGUGCGUCUCUUUCCUCAUCAAUGGACUCGGCUGAGACAGGCUGCAACAAUUUAGGAGCUCGUCUGGGAUAAGGAGGAGGUUGACCUGAUUGGAUUCUGAGACGAGGUCUUGAGGACUCGGACAGCCAUGGGAGCCCAACAAUAAGGUCCAGGAGGCGAAACCAGAAGGCCGGCAGGCCAAGCCCCAUACAGCAGAGUGAGUCCUCCUGAAGAUCAUGAAGAGGAAGUGGUCAGAGCCCAGGUGGACUGGUCCCUUCCAAGUCACCAAGAGGACCUCCUAUGCAGUAUGAUUGAAAGGCAAAGGAGACACAUGGUUCCAUUGGAGCCAGUGUGCAGCGGUGGCAGAGCGCAGCAGAUCCCUCACCGAGAUCAAGGACGGCCUCACCAACAGCGCAGAACAACCCGGUUCUGCUGAACCGGCAGCAACUCAGGUCCCAGCAGCAGGGCAGAAUAAUCCCCUGACCUGAGGCAACCAGCAGGGUAGUCUACCCCUGUCUGGCAAGGAAGACCAGAGACACCUAAUCUGACGCAGAACAUCAGGACCAGGAUAAAGAAAAUCAAGAUGAAAAGGGGGACUGUGGGGGGAAAACAAGUUAUAUGUGGAAUGUGUAAUAUGAUUAGCGUGUUGAUGCUUUUGCUGCAUUCCACUACCCAAGCAAGGACAAGGGGAGGUACCAGGUGUGAGGAAAGAUGGGGAGGGCUGCUAUUACAAUACAUGCAAGGAAUGAGCACCACUUUCCUUUUAGAUCUUUGCGACGUGAUCGAUUGCGGGGGUCAAAACGCUUCAUACAGGGGGUAUGACAUCUGGCUGUGUGAUACCCCAGGAUUCAAUGAGAGAUGUCAGAAAGGUCUGAGAGGGGGAUCAUCUAUUUGCUCAGGAUGGGACCAGGUGGCCAAGUACUAUGGAAUAUUAUUUAGCACUAUAUAACAUAGAAUAUAAGUAUUAUGAUAUUAUUAAGAAGUAUGCCAAAUAUCCAUGAUGUAAUCAUUACAAUGUAAACAUUAUAAUGUAAUCAACUGAGUAUGUAUUUGCACCUUUUGUUAUUCUGAGUUUCUUUUAGCUACUUUAUGUUAGUCCUGAAUCUAUGAAUAUUCACUUUUAUUAACAUAUAUUUUAUCACUAUGUUAAAGCACAAAUAUAUUAUCAACCUUCUAGUUAGACAAUGUGCAACAGGCUGAAACUGCCAGGGUUACUACUGAAGGAAGGGAUUUGCUUGAGUUCAUCAGAAGUUCACGGCUGAGCAUUUUUAAAAAACCAAGUAGAGCUGAUCGCGCCACCAUUAUGUUCAGCCGAGGGACCAAACGGUAAAAGAAAUGACUGACAAACUUAUCACCUAGGGGUGUGGAUUAAGGGAAAAAACAAUGAUUGUGAAUGGCUGAAGGAAUGAUGAUGCAUAAGUGACAAGAUAUUGAUAAAUGAUAAGAACUUAUAUAAAAAUUGGUGUAAAACAGUACUGGACACACUUUACGUGUCCGGUCUUGGUUGUAACUUCAUUGUUGCAAUAAAGAAUGAAUUCUGGAUACUAGAAAA
Long non-coding RNA from Brienomyrus brachyistius, 1746 nucleotides. RefSeq lists it as uncharacterized. NCBI's taxonomy places the organism in Eukaryota, Metazoa, Chordata, Actinopteri, Osteoglossiformes, Mormyridae. The transcript has 2 exons. The record is from RefSeq and is a predicted model, not a curated record.